GACGAACGCUGGCGGCGUGCUUAACACAUGCAAGUCGAACGGAAAGGCCCUGCUUUUGUGGGGUGCUCGAGUGGCGAACGGGUGAGUAACACGUGAGUAACCUGCCCUUGACUUUGGGAUAACUUCAGGAAACUGGGGCUAAUACCGGAUAGGAGCUCCUGCUGCAUGGUGGGGGUUGGAAAGUUUCGGCGGUUGGGGAUGGACUCGCGGCUUAUCAGCUUGUUGGUGGGGUAGUGGCUUACCAAGGCUUUGACGGGUAGCCGGCCUGAGAGGGGGACCGGCCACAUUGGGACUGAGAUACGGCCCAGACUCCUACGGGAGGCAGCAGUGGGAAAUAUUGCACAAUGGGCGGAAGCCUGAUGCAGCAACGCCGCGUGCGGGAUGACGGCCUUCGGGUUGUAAACCGCUUUCGCCUGUGACGAAGCGUGAGUGACGGUAAUGGGUAAAGAAGCACCGGCUAACUACGUG
RNAcentral lists this ribosomal RNA (468 nucleotides) under uncultured bacterium. Its description in RNAcentral is "partial 16S ribosomal RNA". It matches the Rfam family "Bacterial small subunit ribosomal RNA", at positions 28 to 507 of the family's 1533-position model. The record is from RNAcentral.